GGCUGGUCUGAUGGUGGUGGGUUAUCAGAACUUAUUAACAUUAGUGUCACUGCAGUUGGUAUACAACCCCCCACUGCUAAAUUUCACUGUCUUAA
Molecule: Y RNA, 95 nt
Filed under: Microcebus murinus (gray mouse lemur)
Lineage: Eukaryota; Metazoa; Chordata; Mammalia; Primates; Cheirogaleidae
Description: Y RNA (ENSMICG00000043589.1)
Rfam family: Y RNA
About the family: Y RNAs are components of the Ro ribonucleoprotein particle (Ro RNP), in association with Ro60 and La proteins. The Y RNAs and Ro60 and La proteins are well conserved, but the function of the Ro RNP is not known. In humans the RNA component can be one of four small RNAs -- hY1, hY3, hY4 and hY5.
Source: Rfam by way of RNAcentral